GACGAACGCUGGCGGCGUGCUUAACACAUGCAAGUCGAACGGACAGGCCCUGCUUUUGUGGGGUGCUCGAGUGGCGAACGGGUGAGUAACACGCGAGUAACCUGCCCUUGACUUUGGGAUAACUUCAGGAAACUGGGGCUAAUACCGGAUAGGAGCUCCUGCUGCAUGGUGGGGGUUGGAAAGUUUCGGCGGUUGGGGAUGGACUCGCGGCUUAUCAGCUUGUUGGUGGGGUAGUGGCUUACCAAGGCUUUGACGGGUAGCCGGCCUGAGAGGGUGACCGGCCACAUGGGGACUGAGAUACGGCGCAGACGCCUACGGGAGGCAGCAGGGGGGAAUAUUGCACAAUGGGCGGAAGCCUGAGGCAGCAACGCCGCGUGCGGGAUGACGGCCUUCGGGUGGUAAACCGCUUUCGCCGGUGACGAAGCGUUAGUGACGGUAAUGGGUAAAGAAGCACCGGCUAACUACGUG
RNAcentral lists this ribosomal RNA (468 nucleotides) under uncultured bacterium. RNAcentral's name for it is "partial 16S ribosomal RNA". It matches the Rfam family "Bacterial small subunit ribosomal RNA", at positions 28 to 507 of the family's 1533-position model. The record is from RNAcentral.